Molecule: non-coding RNA, 391 nt
Organism: Coturnix japonica (Japanese quail)
Lineage: Eukaryota; Metazoa; Chordata; Aves; Galliformes; Phasianidae
Source: RefSeq, a predicted model, not a curated record
UCUGUGCUCUGCUGCCACCAUUUACUUUAAACCUCAAAUACUCAAAUGCUUGAGUCAGACUCCUUCAGAAAAAUCUGAGCACAUCCAGAAAGUAAGAUUUCUUUUCAUUGUCAGCAAAAUGAUUACAAAAUUUAACUGAAGACUGUUUUGUAAGACAACCAAAUGACCUUCAGGACCAACAAUGUAAUGAGUACACAUGAAGAUUCAUGAGUAUACAUCAGGUUAUGUUCUGACACAGGGUAUGAGUGCAACAUCAUUUUGAGCUUGAGACAUGCAUGGUCCUUCUGAGGCAACAAAGAAAGGACUCCUACAAAACUAUUUUCUACUUUCAUGUUUGCUCCAUAAGUAUUAAAUGUUGCAUUAGAUUAUUUUAUUGUUGUUGUUUUUCAGG